CGUUCUCCAGGGUCAGGUAUUGAAAAUUAGUCUCCGAUGUUAUGAAGCAUUUGAUUGUGGAUUUACAUUUGAACCAAACCUAUUCAUGGAUGGAAUGUUUUUAUCUGCAGACAAGCUUCCCUGCUGUUUCCAAUUUCCAGGACUGAUGUUUGAUUGUAGAUAUGAUGGUGAACUGCAGAAGCCUGUGAUGUUCCCUCAGUCUUGACUUAAGUUAUCAGUAUAUGACCAUGCAAUGUGACAAAAGAUUUUUCUUGGGUUGUGCAGGUUUCAACAUGCUCAUCAGAUAUGGCUUGUAACUAUUGGAAUGACUUGUAGAAAAGAGUGCGAGGAGUUGUAACGUUUAGCUGACAUGUGGUUUCAAGCUUGAAUAAUUCCCUCGCGUCGGUGUGUUUAAUUGGCGUGCGAAAAGGAAAACAGCAGGUUGAAAUGUACCACGCAACAUGGUAUGAUUCCGCAGUAUCUAUAGCAAACAAUAAUAACACAACAUCUGUGUGAGCUGAGGCGUGGCGACGAAAAUGUACAACAGUGUUGUAUUGUUGGUUGUAUACACGUGUCGCUGUUUGUAGUGAGUUGUGAUUCAUGAAUCAAUUUCUUGAGUUCGAAAUCUUACUGUUUCGAAAAUUUGGAUGUCCGAAACUCUUAGGAGUUAUUGAAUGGCUUUGGUAUUUUGCGGUGCUGUUAUGUUAACACAAGUUGGCGGGUAACUUCAGUUCCUUAUUUCACUUCUGUUUCGAAAGGUAAUGACCAUAGCUUCAGCUCAUGUGCCGUAAUCUUAUGCUGCUACUUUUUCUGUAUUGGUGCAAUUGACUAUUGCAGCUGAAUCGAUUAUAAUGUGUUUAUUUGCAUUUAACUUGACUCUGUUGUGUCUGAUGGAUAAAAUGCCUCCAGGAUGUGGUUUAUGACAUUGAUGAGUGCUAUUUCAGAAGAGCAAACAUGUUAAUGGAGAGUGUGGUAUCCAUUGUGGUAAUCGAAUGGUGAUAUCAUGUCUUUGAAUGCCGAUAUCCGAACCCAGCAUGUGUCAAAUUGCGCAGUCCAAGCUCUGAUUAUGCUGCCUUGACAUAUGUUGCGAAAGGGGGCGUGGCUUUUCACAUUAACAAUUCAAUUUGUUGGUUGUUUUCUCAAGUUGGACAUGUUGGGUUUGACUUCUAUGGGCGUGCUGCAGUGUUUUGGCAAUGGAUGUCUUGCAAAGCGAAGUCUUGCAAUUGUGCUGAAUGGUCUUUGGCUUUUAGAAAAACCAGAACCUCUGCCGAAAGUUAUCACAGUACAUCAUCACUUCAAUCCAUACGUAACAGGCCGCAUUAAUUAAAAGUGAUUAGCUUUCAUUUGCUGAGAUCCAAACUUUUGUAUUUCAUUUGAGCUCAUUUCAAACUGUCAUAACUGGAUUAGAAACUUGAAUGCUACAUGUAACUUCUUGUAAUGUCAUGUUUAAAUUGUUCUUCUUGUGAUUUUGAUGUACCUUGAAUCAGUUCUAUCUAAUGGAGUACUAUGAAACAAUUAUGCACUUCCUUGUAAUAGUUUGUAGCUGAUCUGUUACGAAUCACACUGUUUAGCAAUGUGGGUGUCUUGGAGUUUUCUUGAUAAUUACUUUGGAUUUUCUAUGUAUGAACUGGCCUUGCUUCAACUAGUAUUCCACCUUAUGUGACUCCUUCAUCAUGUCUUUUUCCUCGUAUUCAUAUAAUAAUCAUACCGGACAAAAUGGUUUCAUGUUGCAUGUUUCUAUGUACGGAAUGACAUAAUAGUGAUAAGAACUAAGGUGAGGUAUUCUCGUGAUGAAAUGUAGUCAUGUUGUCAUAUGAUGCUAAAUUAAAAAAUGAAAAUUAUUCUAUGAAAUUUAAUAUGCCCGACAAAAUUGGGGUAUGACUCUUGUGGUUGCUUCUCCAUGCCAAAUCUUAACAAUAUUCUUGGCAUAAUUUACUUGAGAUAUAAAGAUAGAUCUCCAUCGGCUUACGAUUGCAGGCCAAGAAAAAGUUAGUCCCCAAAAGCUCAUUCAAUUCAGACUGCAUUUGCUCACACAAAUGUUGAAUUUUAUUAACUUGACAUCACACCAAACACAUAGCAUCCACAUAGAUCUGAGCAACAUGACUUUCCUCCUUCAUCCUUUGACCAAAUAAAUUUAUCAAUACUCCCCUUUCUGUAUCAUUGUCAAUGAGAAACCACUGUGAGUCUCUCAUACCAAGCUCUAGAGCUUGUUUCAACUCAUAAAGGCUUUCCAACGUUAUACAUGCCUUUGGAAGAUUUGGGUUUUGUGAAUCCUUUUGGUGUUCAACCAUAAUUACUUCCUCUUUCAAGUAGCCAUUUAAGAAGGCAUUUUCACAUCCAUUUGGAACAAUUUAAACUUCAAAUACAUCACUCCUAACAAUAAUCUAAUAAUGGACUCAGGCGAGCUACAAGAGAAAAGUUCAUCAAAUGUCAAUCUCCUUCAACUUGAGUGUAUCUUAUGCACCAUCUUGCUUUUAUUUCUAUAACCACAAUCCUUUUUCAUCAGAUUUAUUCUUGUAACCCACUUUGUUCCAAUAACACUUAUUCUUCAGGUCUUGGAACCAAUUCCCUACUUAUCAUUUCUCUUGAAUUGGCCUAAUUUCUUCUGGAUGGCAUUGACCAAAAUUCAUCGUUAGGUUUUUAACAUUCUUAGGCUCAUAUGUUGGACAACAAAACAGCGUAUGAGAUCAUAUCCUUUGAUGCUAGUGGUGACCCCUUUAUUUGGUUUCCCUAUAAUGAGACUUAUGGACGAUCCUUCUGAAUCUGAUGAGAGGUUUCAUUAUAAUCUUAUCAGCUUCAGGUUCAGCUUGAGUGGACUCACUCUCACUAUCUUUGUCCAGGAGAUCAAUUGGGCAUCAUUCAAAAUAUUAAACAUCGUCUAACAUCAGUCUAUUGAUCAUCAACAACAACAUUGAGAGACUCGCAUCAUAACUUUUGUUCUUAAUUAAACAUUCUAAGAGGCUCUCGCUAUUUAUUGAGUAGCCUAGAAUAUUCCUCAACUCUUGGGGUCCAUUUUCCUUCUUUGUUCACGAUCAGCCAGGAUAAGCAUUUACUGCCGAAACAUAUGGAAGUUAUUGCUAGUUACAGUGUUUCUUCCCUCCAGAUCUUAUUAAAGUGGUUGAGGCCCUUUUCUCAGGUUACUCUGUUGUGAACAUAAACAGGCGUGUUCAUAGCUUCCAGCCCAAAGUGGUAAGGCAACUCUUAGCAUGAAAAAAGCCUUAGCAGAUGUCUUGGAGAGUUCUAUUUUUUCCAACCUGGAUUGUAGUGAGUGUGGUAGGGGUUAUUCUUCUCUAAGAAUUUUAUCUCUUCAAUUUGUUGAGGAGUUGCUAAAGCAAUAGCAAUUGUUGAUUUGGUACUUAUUUACGAUUUCACACUGAUGGCCUGAGCGAGUUAGAACUUUGAGCUACCUGUUGAGUACUAUAUUCAUUGCUUUCAUUUAUUUCUACUUCAGAAGCGACUGUAUCUUCCAAACGGAUAUUUUAUUAGCAUCCAGUUUCAAAUCAAUGACUCUUCCAGGUUUGCUUGUACACCUAUCAUAUAGUUCCAGAUGCUCAUUUUGCGGUUAAAGCUUCAAUGAUUCUUUUAAUUCGCGUGCUGUUGAAAAACUUGUUGAGCAUCGACUGCUAAUAGCGAUCACUCUGUUUGUAUUAUUUUCAGCCAUGACAACAUCUACAUUUUUUCAGGUCUGAUCCAUAUUAUGAGAUUGGCAAGCACAGGACCUUUUUGAAUUUUUGUUGGUGACUCCAAAGACUCACCAUCUUUCUGUUUGAAGUCAAGAUUUCAUACCUUUUCCUAAAGAAUACUGAUGGUGGAAAAUACUCGUUUAAGAAUGGAUGUUUCCAUCUCUUUCCAGAUGUAUACUACAGCUCGAAAGAUAGUAAGAACCACUCUUCGCCUCUUCAGAUAAAAUGAAUGAGAACAUUCUUAACUCUUUGCUUCAUCAGUAUGACCAUCAAUUUUCAAAUGUAUACUCAUGGUCAGGAAAUCUCCUAAAGGUGCUUGUUGUGCACUUCAUUAACCUUUCUGGUGAGGUUUUCUCUUAAGUUGAUUGAUUGUGCCAGAUACAAUUGAAAAUUGGUCACAUUUACGUUGGUUUACAAUGGUUAUCUAUCACCCGGUGCAUUUGCACCUCCAUAGUCAACUAGGAGUCUUUCGAAGAUUGAGGCGGUGGACAUGGAGGAAUUUCAGACAUAGUUUCUUUUUCUGAAUCUGAGUGAUCAGAGGGAACUUCUGUCUUGGAAGGCAAUCUAGCGUUUCUGCGUCUCCGGUGAAGGAUUCUCUGAUUUCUGCGUGUAAAUUAUGCUAAGAGCUCUCCUCGCUACACGGAUUAGUGAAUGAAUCUAUCUAAAUUGACAGAAAAAUAAUUUAUUAUCAGAGCAGCAAAUUUAAUUGAACUUAAAAUCAAACUAUAUUUUGGCAGUUCCCGGCAACGGCGGCAAAACUUGAUCGGAAAAAUAGCAGUGUACUAGUUUGCCUGUAUAAGUAAUAAAGGGGAAAUCCUGAAUGUCGAUCUCCAGAGACGCAAGUUAAUAUUGAGUUCAAUUCAUCGUUCAUAAACAAAAUAUAAUUGGGCGUUUAAAUCUCAAAAUUCUAAAAAUACAUGGCCCUAUGUGCAUUAAUAGAUAUACCUUGACGAGAAACCAAGGUUUGCGGAAGUGUAAGAAGGAUGUAAUGCCAUGGCUUUUCGUGUGUAAGCAUUUUUCCUUGUACUGACAAUGUCCUGCUUCCAACUAUGGAGGGUGCUUAAACUAAUUAGCUACCAACAGAUCCUAUCAUAUUUCCUAUAUCACACCUUUCUCAUCAUCAAAGGCUGAUUUUUCUCGCACCGCGCUAUGUGCUGAAAGAACAAUCACUUUCCAUUCUCUCUCACCCAUAUUAUCGUCUACCUGAUCGCAAGCAAACGUUACGGGUUGAAGUUGAAACAAUAUUAUUUAAUAUUUCCCGAACGGAUUCUUAUUCCCNNNNNNNNNNNNNNNNNNNNNNNNNGGAGAUAAGACGACAAUAUCAAAAUAACUUCGAGAGAUAAGGGGCGAGAAGCUACGCUCCCUCUUUACACACCCGAGAUUUAAUUGUAAAGAUAUGUUUUUUAGAUAUUGAUUUGAUUCGAAAUUGAUUUGUAUUGAAUUAUAGGUUUUGAUUUGAUGACGAAGAUUCGAGCAAUUGGCGUACGCCAAUUAUCGAAUAAUAGAAAUAUAGUGAGGCGUACGCCCCAUCUCUUUUUUCAUCUGAAAUAUGGAUUAAAAGGAUUUGGAUAUGUAGAAAUGAUUUGAGAUAUUAUGAUUAUUAGGGUUAUUUGAAUGACGAAAUCCGAGCAAUAUGGCGUACGCCAAUUAUUCGAAUAAUCGAGAGAUAGAAGUGCGGAUGCUUUAUUAUCCUUUUCGUUCAAAUUAAUGUUAAAGUUUUGAGGAGUGUAUUGAUCGAAAGAGUUUUAUUUGAAUGACGAAAAUCGAGCAUGGCGUACGCCAAUUAUUCGAAUAAUCGAGAGAUAAUGAAGCGAUGCUCACUAAUUCCCUUUUCAUUCAAAAGAUUAAUAGACUUUAGAAUUAAUUGUUAAUUGGGAGUGAUUUUAAUUUUAUGGAGUUUUAGGGUUUUAAAUGAAUGACGAAAAUCCGAGCAAUAUGGCGUACGCCAAUUAUUCGAAUAGUCGAGAGAUAGUGAAGCGGAAGCUUACUAUUCUCCUUUUCAUUCAAAGAUUAAUUUAAAAGUUUAAAGGGGUAUAUCGAUUAAAGACUUUGAAUUCGAUUUUACAAAAACAAUAAAGUUUAGAUAAAAGUGUUUGGUAUUUGCUCAAAAUUAAUUUAGUAACAAGAUACAUAAUGAAUUAAGCACUUAUUUACUUUAGUAAAAUCAAUUACUCAUUUAAUCGUACUAUUCUAAAAAUAAAUAGGCUUAAAAUCUUUUUGAAAUAGAAAAACAAAUAAGACCUUGUGUCAUGUCUUUUUACUAAAAUUGCUAUCCAAAAUAUUUAAAUAAAAUGUUGUAGCAAGUUAUAAAGAAAUAAAAUAAACUGGGGUAUGAAUUCAACUAGUGGUACAUUCGGUAACGAAGCAGUAGUCGAAAGGGCAGUUGUACAACUAUCCCUAUCGUGCCACCACAGGUGGCCUUUGAGCUUCAUACACAGGCCACGCGUGAUUUUCUUGGGAAUCGGUGUGUUUGUGUACUCAAUAACCAUAAUAGCUACAUAGCAAUACUACCACUUACACACUAAUAUUCAUACUAAUAAAUGUAAACUCAGCACUUGAACAGUUGUGGAGAUGCAUAAAACAAAACGAAAACAAAAUGCUUAUUCCAAAACUCAGCACUUGAACAGUUGUGGAGAUGCAUAAAACAAAACGAAAACAAAAUGCUUAUUCCUCCUGUUGUUUCUCGCUCAACUUCUGUUUUUUCUUUCAAAGACAAAAUAUUCUUUCCCUCACCCCAAAACAUGCAUCCAUCGAUAAACCCAACACACAAACGUCUAGAUCGAAUGAAAAAGAAAUGCAAAGGGAUUAAAGCUUGACAUCAGUUCUCUUCAACCAAGAUCAAGACGAGAAAAGCAAGAAAAAUGGAUCAUUCGAGAUAAAAGGGAAAAACGGCGAGGGUUUACCCAAUCGGAAGGUCCUCCUGUCCAAGAUCUAGCGUUAUCGCUUGGGUUUUUACGACGAGUGCUCUAACCGCAACUGAUUGUCCAGAUGAGGUAGGUUCAUUAUUCAUGGCUGGGCUUCUUACUUCGCAAUCUCCAUGGUUGUUAGGUUUCUUUCGUUUGGUUAGGGUUGCUAUUAAGGUGGUGGUUUCGCAUAGAUGGUGGUUUUUUAGCUCAAACUUGUUGAAAUUCAGUGUGAAAUCUCAACAAGCUUAGAAAUUUUAGAGCUCUAAAAAGUGUUUUGGAGUUGUUUUCUGCAGAGUAACGGUGCCAAAUUUUCCUCCCCUUUUCCAAUGAUUGGAGACUCUUUAUAUAGAGCUCUGAAUUACCAAGUCUCUCACCUGUGAGCUAGCCAAAAUCUAAGAUUUUCCGUUAGAAUAAAAAUCUCAUCUAGAUUUGGUGUGGUACCUAAAUUGAUGCAGGUGGCAAGGUGAAUUUGUUUUCGUUGGUAAAAUCUUAAGCGUGUAACCAUCCUCAACAACUCUUUUUUACCGUGGUAAGAAUGUAUCUGGCAUGGUAAGAAUCUUGAUUUUACUACCCUGUAACCCUGAAUUUCUCGCAGGUUUUGAUUAACUGGUGCGACGAAAAAAAAACAAUUAUUCAAAAGCCAUUCGCACUACUGUUAAUGAUGAUCUAAUAUGAUAGUAUUCUUGGCCAGUUUGGUUAUUGCUCUCUUAAUGCUGUCAAUUGUUGUUCUGCAGGUUCACAGUUGAUUAAGAUAACAUGAGUCACGGUAGCAUCAAAUACUAUGGACCUUGAGUUGGAGACAUGGUCCAUCCUUCAAGAUCCAGGCCAUGGUUUACCGGAAUCAAGAUUCACACUUCUGCCAAACUAAAUCACCGAGGAAGUUUCAUCUGAAUCGCCUUCUUGCAGAAGUAAUUGAUCACUAUAAUUAGGGUCCCGUUCUCCAGGGUCAGGUAUUGAAAAAUUAGUCUCCCGACUGUUAUGAAGCAAUUUGAUUGUGGAUUUACAUUUGAACCAAACCUAUUCAUGGAUGGAAUGUUUUUAUCUGCAGACAAGCUUCCCUGCUGUUUCCAAUUUCCAGGACUGAUGUUUGAUUGUAGAUAUGAUGGUGAACUGCCAGGAGCCUGUGAUGUUCCCUCAGUCUUGACUUAAGUUAUCAGUAUAUUGACCAUGCCAAUGUGACAAAAAGAUUUUUUCUUGGGUUGUGCAGGUUUCAACAUGCUCAUCAGGAUAUGGCUUGUAACCUAUUGGAAUGACUUGUAGAAAAAGAGUGCGAGGAGUUGUAACGUUUAGCUGACAUGUGGUUUCAAGCUUGAAUAAUUUCCCCUCGCGUCGGUGUGUUUAAUUGCGUGCGAAAGAGGAAAACAGCAGGUUGAAAUGUAACACAGCAACAUGGUAUGAUUCCCGCAGUAUUCCAUAGCAGAACAAUAAUAACACAACAUCUGUGUGAAGCUGAGGCGUGGCGACGAAAAAUGUACAACGAGUGUUGUAUUGUUGGGUUGUAUAACCGUGUCGCUGUUUGUAGUGAGUUGUGAUUCAUGAAUCAAUUUUCUUGAGUUCUGAAAUCCUUACUGUUUCGAAAAUUUGGAUGUCCGAAACUCUUAGGAAGUUUAUUGAAUGGCUUUGGUAUUUUGCAGGGUGCUGUUAUGUUAACACAAGUUGGCGGGUAACUUCAAGUUCCAUUAUUUCACUUCUGUUUCGAAAGGUAAUGACCAUAGCCUUCAGCUCAUGUGCCGUAAAUCUUAUGCUGCUACUUUUCUGAUAUUGGUGCAAAUUGACUAUUGCAGCCUGAAUUCGAUUAUAAUGUGUUUUAUUUGCAUUUAACUUGACUCUGUUGUGUCUGAUGGAUAAAAAUGCCUCCAGGAUGUGGUUUAUGGACAUUGAUGAGUGCUAUUUCAGAAGCCAAAACAUGUUUAAUGGAGAGUGUGUAUCAACUUGGUUGUAAUCGAAUGGUGAUAUCAUGGUCUUUGAAUGCCGAUAUCCGAACCCAGCAUGUGUCAAUUGCGCAGUCCAAGCUCCUGAUUAUGCUGCCUUGACAUAUGUUGCGGAAAGGGGGCGUGGCUUUUCACAUUAACAACUUCAAUUUGUUGGUUGUUUUGCUCAAGUUGGACAUGUUGGGUUUGACUUCUAUGGCGCGUGCUGCAGUGUUUUGGCCAAUGGAUUCUUGACAAAGCCGGAAGUCUUGCAAUUGUGCUGAAUGGUCUUUGGCUUUUUAGAAGAACCAGAACCUCUGCCGAAAGUUAUCACAGUACAUCAUCACUUCAAACUCCAUACGUAACAGGCCCGCAUUAAAUUAAAGUGAUUAGCUUUCAUUUGUCUGAGAUCCAAACUUUUGUAUUUCAUUUGAGCUCAAUUUCAAACUGUCAUAACUGGAUUAGAAACUUGAAUGCUACAUGUAACUUUCUUGUAAUGUCAUGUUUAAAUUGUUCUUCUUGUGAUUUUGAUGUACCUUGAAUCAGUUCCUAAUCUAAUGGAGUACUAUUGAAACAAUUAUGCACUUCCCUUGUAAUAGUUUGUAGCUGAUCCUGGUUACCGAAUCACACUUGUUUAGCAAUGUUGGUGUCUUGGAGUUUUCUUGAUAAAUACUUUGGAUUUUCUAUGUAUGAAUGGCCUUGCUUCAA
Molecule: long non-coding RNA, 9186 nt
Filed under: Lathyrus oleraceus (garden pea)
Lineage: Eukaryota; Viridiplantae; Streptophyta; Magnoliopsida; Fabales; Fabaceae
Description: Pisum sativum (pea) long non-coding RNA (PSAT_LNC038094)
Source: RNAcentral